Rhododendron vialii is the source of this 2062-nucleotide RNA transcript. RefSeq lists it as uncharacterized. The transcript has 2 exons. The record is from RefSeq and is a predicted model, not a curated record. NCBI's taxonomy places the organism in Eukaryota, Viridiplantae, Streptophyta, Magnoliopsida, Ericales, Ericaceae.
GAUUAUUAUUUCUUUUAAGGCAAAAAAAAUUAGCCAAUAUGCAUAUAUUUUUUGAAGUUUUGUGGUUGUUUUAAAGUUUUACUUGAAAUUUGUUGAAAUUUUUGUAUCAAUAUUGUUCUGCCCAUCAUUUACGUUAUUGUUCCCAUCUCUCACAACUUAUUAGCAAUAGAAAUAUUAAUGCUAUUGUUCAAAAGGUAUAUGGACCCAUUAAUGCGAAUUUGGUUGCCUGGACUUCCCUUCUAUCAGUGUAAGUGAAAAAUGGCCACGGCUGUGUUCUUAGGAUAUGGUUUUUGGCGUUUCUGAACAUGUACUUCAAUUGUCUUCUAAGUGUUUGAUGAAAUGUACCAACUACAAUAGCCUUAUGCUUUCGUUAAUUUUUUUUUAUAAUUAUUUUCCAAAAUCUUCAGCAGAAUCGGCCCCCCACUUUAAACCAAUUUUACCAAAAUCUUAUGAAUUUGAGGUACGCAAAAACCAUUCCUUUUUCCCUCAUAGUUAUCAUUCCAAGUUGGCUAACAUUGAGAUUUAGUCUAUCCAUAUUGGUUCUUGGUUUAUUUCAUAUAUUGUUCACGUCGCAAUUUAGGUCUUUUUGUUAGGUUUUUGGAUUAGCAGUGCUUAGACGCGUAGAGAAGAGACAUAUCUUUGUAUCGUAACCUUAUCUCUAAUCUAAAUAGAUAUACACACACGUAUUGAGAAUUACACUGAUGCUUGCUCUAUUGCACAAUUACAAAAGUUUACCCCUAACUGAAAUCUAUUCUAAUUCCACGUGAUUCUAAUAUAUAAAGCUUACCUCUAAUGGAAUUUACUCUUUAAGUGAUUCCCUUUUCCAUGUCUGUGCGUGGGAAAGAAAAAAAAAAGAAAGAGAAAUUUCUUAGGACCUUAUGGCCUUACCAAAGUAGAAAUGUAUAGAAGGCCCAUGGCAAUUAUCAGCAAGGAGCGCGCGCGCACACACACACAAACCUAGUGAUUGUUUGCAUGAUUCAAUAUCGGAAUUGGUUGUCAAAUGAAUAUGUUGCUCAUUAACUCCUCUUUGCCCAUGUAAACUCUAUUUCAAGUUGUCAAUGUGGUUUAUAGGAAAAGAUUUUGCCUCUUUUUUUGAUUAUUUUCUGAAGUCCAUCUUUUUACUAAUGGCUCCUUCAUUAAGUCUCCCAUUGCACAUGAUUCUCCCGUGAUCAAUUCUAUGGAUUUUGUUUUGGGGGCUCUUUGUUAAAAGUUGAUUUUUACCUUAAAAGUUGUAAAAUAACAUCGCAACUGAUUUAUUUUCAUAUGUAUGUUUUGCUAUUUUGUUUCAUGUUUGAACCGAAAGCUGUUUUAGUGGUGAGAUCUGAUUUCCACUACUACUAUAUUAUUAGAGCAAUAUGAUCAACUUCUUUUGUUUGUGAUUUCUGAGUUAUAUGUUCAGAUAAAAUUCAAUGGCUGCAUCGACGCCGUAGAGGUAAAGGAAAAUCUAUGUGCAUAAUUUAUGGGGCUUAGAGGUUAAUGCUAUUUUGAAUACAAUAGACCAAUGCAUUUUAGUUAUCGAAUAGAGCUACUCUUUACUUUUCUCUUUUCAAAAGAUUUGCAGGCUCAAACUUUCAAAUGAGGCGAGGACCAAAAUUCUACCUGAGGGGCUGCAAACCCAGGAGAACUCAGCUUUGACAUCCACAUCAAUGAGUCUCAAUGAAGGAGACUAACUUGGUCACGGUAAAUAUGCAAGUGCAUAUGGAAGAAAGAAAUGUAACAAAUACCUUUCUUUUUUUGGUGAAACUAUGAAUAGGCCUGAAUACAUAAUCAUUAUUCUUGAACCUUAUACCUCGGAAACUAGGGCUUUGUGGCAUACAUAUUUGUAGUUUUUUUAGAGAGUUUUUGGUACGGCAUGGCUUGCCGAAACCCGCAAUAGUUUGCAUAUUGCUAUUUAAUCUUUUUUUUUUUGCUUUCUUUUGCAUUCUUAUUUUAGUUGACUUCCUUUUUCCACAGUUUGGUUUAAUUUGGAAACUCGGGGUCGAUUGUGGUACCAAUGCUGCCAUGCAUACAAAUUUGAACAUUGUUGAGGUUGCUAUGUGAACAGUAAUUAUAGUUGGAUUUA